GAUGAACGCUGGCGGCGUGCCUAAUACAUGCAAGUCGAGCGAACGGACGAGAAGCUUGCUUCUCUGAUGUUAGCGGCGGACGGGUGAGUAACACGUGGAUAACCUACCUAUAAGACUGGGAUAACUUCGGGAAACCGUAGCUAAUACCGGAUAAUAUUUUGAACCGCAUGGUUCAAAAGUGAAAGACGGUCUUGCUGUCACUUAUAGAUGGAUCCGCGCUGCAUUAGCUAGUUGGUAAGGUAACGGCUUACCAAGGCAACGAUGCAUAGCCGACCUGAGAGGGUGGUCGGCCACACGGGAACUGAGACACGGUCCAGACUCCUACGGGAGGCAGCAGUAGGGAAUCUUCCGCAAUGGGCGAAAGCCUGACGGAGCAACGCCGCGUGAGUGAUGAAGGUCUUCGGAUCGUAAAACUCUGUUAUUAGGGAAGAACAUAUGUGUAAGUAACUGUGCACAUCUUGACGGUACCUAAUCAGAAAGCCACGGCUAACUACGUG
Molecule: ribosomal RNA, 497 nt
Filed under: uncultured bacterium
Lineage: Bacteria
Description: partial 16S ribosomal RNA
Rfam family: Bacterial small subunit ribosomal RNA
Source: RNAcentral